CUGAUGCAUCUAAUGUGCGCAUAGAUUAGCUAAUUAUGCGCUGCGUUGGACGGUAAAAAUGAGCAAAGUUAAUUUCAUCUUAGAUAUUAUUUAAAUGCACAAUAAUGAUGGAAACGCUCCCUUUCUGUUAAACAACUCGAUCAUUACGGAAAUACUCGGAGAAAUACCAAUGAUUUUUUUUAUUUUUUGCCAGAAUUAUUAAACUAUGCUAAUAAUGAAAUGUCUGCAUAUCUGAUGCGUCAAAGCGAAACUAUCCCGACAUUUUAUAAUCCUCCAUUUUGUUCUGCUUGUCUCUAAACGCCAUAUUUAUCAGCGCGUCUCCAGAUAAACAGUGUAUAAACAUUUUAAGUAAUAAUAAUGUAAUAAUAAUAAAUAAUCUCAUUAACUCUGAGCCUGGUGUGUUUUAUUUAAUCCGUCCAGGACCUCACUGAUGCCAAACUGGACCCUCUCCCUGGUUCUGACUGGGAUCCUGAGUUCUGCUGCUCUGGGGAAACCUCUGCUGGCUGGGGAUGAAACUCAGGCCGUCAUCUACCAGGCAGAGGAGCACUCCAGCGUCACGCUGACAUAGAGCCUUCCUGUAGAAAGCACGGCUGACCUGCUGCACAUGGAUCUGAUAAGCAUGGGGACAUGGAGGAGAGUAUAUCGCUACGACAGCAGAGCUGAGGCUGAGCCGUACACAGACGAGGCGUUCACUGGUCGACUGCAGUGUGAUGGUCAGCUGGACCGGAGCGGACGGGUCCGAUGUCUCCUGACUGACCUGAGGCUCAACGACACGGGAAGUUAUCUGUGGACGGUUGAAGCUGGUGGAGGAAGACACCAGAAAACAUGGCGGCUGGUAGUCAAAGCUGCCCCUCAUGAAACUCAGGAGGAGACCCAGGAGCCAAUGGAUCGGGGGAGGUUUGGGCUUUAUGCUGGUUUAGGUUUGGUUCUGGUGGUAACAGGAGGACUCUUACUCCGUUACGUCAUUGGUUCAGUUUUUAGGUCUAAGCGUUCAUCUCUAGGUUUAUCAGGCAGUAAGUCAUAGAUUCAUCAAAACCUGCCAUUUCAAUCCUCCCUACAUGUCUUUUUUUCCUGCCUUGAUCAUUUAUCGGAGGAGAUCUUCUGGACUCUCCAAAGAUCCCUCCGUCUUUCGUCCAUAUUGGACUUAAAGCUGAGUCAGCAGUUUGUUUUCUGGUGACCAGAAACGUAUAGGAUGAGUUCUAGAGAAGGAACAGAAGUUGUUCUAAAGGUGUUUUGAAUUCAUUACUAAAGCACUUUGUCCUAUUAACGCCACUGUUACAGUGAAGCUGCUGCUAUCAGCGUUAUGGGGGAACACUAGCCUCAGAAAAUAGUCUCUACCUCAUGUUAGAAGAAUAAUGAGACAGAGAACCGGAUCGACUUCCUGCCACUACCCAGGUCAAGGUGUCCAUGAGCCAGACACCGAAUCCGGGCCUGAUCUACCUCAAUGAAAGAGUCGAUAUCAAAGGUUUUAGAAUGAAAUCUUGUUUACCCAUGAAUAAGCGUAUUUACAAUAAUGUAUUACACUACAUGGUUCAGUUGUAGCUUAUGUUUACCUGCAGAGUCAGUGACGUGAUUCUGAGCCUCUGCACUCAGAAAAAGUGUUAAUGAGCAUGAAGCUGAACCUGGAAUAAGCUACCUCAAUGGAGGAAGAGGUGUUAGCAAGUGUAUAUAAAUGUAAAGCAGCAAGUAUGGGCG
Fundulus heteroclitus (mummichog) is the source of this 1695-nucleotide long non-coding RNA. RefSeq lists it as uncharacterized. The record is from RefSeq and is a predicted model, not a curated record. The transcript has 3 exons. Lineage: Eukaryota; Metazoa; Chordata; Actinopteri; Cyprinodontiformes; Fundulidae.